CAUAGAGGAAAUAUAUUAUCUAGAGUCCCGACCGGUACCCGUCCUACCUGAAACACCCUCAAAUUUUAUUCGAGGUGAACUCUCCCAAAUUCGAGGUGAACUCUCACAAAUUCUCUAUCGGUGAAUACAUGUGAGUGGAGAAAAAAAAGCAAAAUGGGGGAUUGGGCUAAAAAGAAACUUAUGGAAUUUUUGUGACCUGUCAAAAAUGACAAUCAAUUUUGCAAAACAAAACAAUGGGUUUCGGAUUUUUAAAGUAAGUUUUUGUUAAUUGUUUUGAUUUUUAAUAUAAUUUGAUAUUUUUCAGACCAAAAUUCUUUCUAAUGAAGAGGGUAUAUACAAGUUCACUUCAUUGAAUAAAAAUUAAGUCAAAUUGCUGUGAAGGAGGUGCAACAAUAAUGGAUUUAUUUUACAUUCUUUCUUUUCAUUUUAGAUAGUGCCAAAAUGCAGGAAGCAAUUUCCUUUAAGUAAUUUGGGAAGCAAACCAAACGAGGCGCUGAUUUGCAGGUAAGUUUUUUGUAUAUUAUAUUUCUCUUAACAAAAUAAUAUCAAUGUUUUUAACUACAGAUACUGCCCAUUGUUUUUGUAUGUACUUCUCAACUGCAAUAGCUGCCGCAGGUGUUGACGGCGGAGGUGUCACCAUCAAAACCAUUAGAAACAACACGACCAAGUCAAUGAUGCAAGUGGAAGUUUUGCCAUGUAAUAGUCGACCGCUGACGCCCUUCUCGAUCAAUUGUGUAAGUACGUAUCGAAACAUUCAUAUCGUAGUCAACUAGCUUAAUCUUCGUCUUCUAGGUGUAAAGAGUACUACCAGUCUGCAAGAGACGCAAACAAAACAAGAAUACAAUCGCAGGAGACUCCAAAAAAUGUCCAACCCUGACUGUAAGUGAGUUCAAAUUUUAAAUCUACAACGAAUCCAUUCAUUUUGCUCCUAAGGAUCGCACUGGCUUAACGGUGUCAAUCAUUCGGAGGCAAAUGAGCUGGCCCGACAAGAAUCCCCCAAGAAGCCAAACAGAUUCAGAUCAGUCUCUCGGCAGCUACUGACAAUGUCGGCGAAUUGAAUCCAUCGAUUUUCACACAGAAAAUCAACAUCAAUAAAAUCACGACAAUUCAGCAGCGUCAUGGUCAACCUGCCGAUCAACCAUUCACAGUGAACAACCUCUAUUCGUAGCAGAAGCGAUCCCUGCGUUGUCGACAAUGCGAACACAAUGUCAUCAAGCCGGAGUACCAUCCAGGAUCGAUCAAGUAUCGCAUUCAAUUGUUUGCUAACUACCAUGUGCCAGACGUUCUGCUUGUGCGUUGUGAAAAGCCACUGAAGCCUGGCACGUCCACUGAAUUGAUCCUCAAGCUAACUAACCCAACGAUGUACCAUAUAACCACAACCAUUAUGAAACUGCUAACCAAGGAAGAAGAACAGCGAAUGAUCGACUUCGAAUAAAAGUUCAACGAAAGGAACCAAAAUUCACCACUUGGAGAAAGUCCAAUAACGUAACAAUUAAAUUGAACUUCACACCUGAAGAAGGAUUGAAACCAGGCGAUGAUGUUACUCUUAGUUUCUUGAUGAAAUAUACUUUUGUGAAUACAUACACACGCCCGAAAAGAAAGAACGUCAAAAACACGCAUUAUCAUCGAAAGUUUUUGUAAAAGUUGGUCAAAUUGAAGCCUAGAUUUAUUUCUAUGUAUAUCUAGAAAAUAAUCUUUUUUGCAAAAAACUUGUUUAUUUAUUUUGAGCUAUACUGUAAUUUUGUAUAUAUUGUAUAUUCUAUUGUUUCUUUGCUGACUAGGAUCAUUUUUAUUCAAAAUUAUUUAUGAUU
Eupeodes corollae is the source of this 1811-nucleotide long non-coding RNA. RefSeq lists it as uncharacterized. The transcript is spliced from 3 exons. The record is from RefSeq and is a predicted model, not a curated record. Lineage: Eukaryota; Metazoa; Arthropoda; Insecta; Diptera; Syrphidae.